CAGGGAUUGCCCUAGUAACGGGAGUGAAGCGGCAACAGCUCAAAUUUGAAAUCUGGCGCAAGCCCGAGUUGUAAUUUGUAGAGGAUGCUUCUGGGUAGCGACCGAUCUAAGUUCCUUGGAACAGGACGUCAUAGAGGGUGAGAAUCCCGUAUGUGACCGGCCCGCACCCUUUACGUAGCUCCUUCGACGAGUCGAGUUGUUUGGGAAUGCAGCUCUAAAUGGGAGGUAAAUUUCUUCUAAAGCUAAAUACCGGCCAGAGACCGAUAGCGCACAAGUAGAGUGAUCGAAAGAUGAAAAGUACUUUGGAAAGAGAGUUAAAAAGCACGUGAAAUUGUUGAAAGGGAAGCGCCUGCAACCAGACUUCGCGGCAGUGUUCCGCCGGUCUUCUGACCGGUUCAUUCUCUGUCGCGAGGCCAUCAUCGCCUGGGCCCGCCGGAUAAGACCUUAGGAAUGUAGCUCACCUUCGGGGGAGUGUUAUAGCCUAGGGUGAUGCGGCGAGGCUCGGGCGAGGUCCGCGCUUCGGCAAGGAUGAUGGCGUAAUGGUUGUCGGCGGCCCGUCUUGAAACACGGACCAAGGAGUCUAACAUCUAUGCGAGUGUUCGGGUGUCAAACCCCUACCGUAAUGAAAGUGAACGG
This 636-nucleotide ribosomal RNA is filed under the name Septoria steviae. Its description in RNAcentral is "partial 28S ribosomal RNA". It matches the Rfam family "Eukaryotic large subunit ribosomal RNA", at positions 69 to 732 of the family's 3401-position model. Lineage: Eukaryota; Fungi; Ascomycota; Dothideomycetes; Mycosphaerellales; Mycosphaerellaceae. The record is from RNAcentral.